Eriocheir sinensis (Chinese mitten crab) is the source of this 1186-nucleotide long non-coding RNA. RefSeq lists it as uncharacterized. The record is from RefSeq and is a predicted model, not a curated record. Lineage: Eukaryota; Metazoa; Arthropoda; Malacostraca; Decapoda; Varunidae. The transcript has 3 exons.
GACGUAAACGGUUCAAUAGGAAUUAACGUGGCGAAUGAACACGAAUCAUGAAUUGGGAUGAUUCUCCAUGAAUUGGUUCAAUUCGAUUCGAAACAUCACAUAUUGGGUGUUGACAAUCCGAGAAUGGGACUGCCAAGUUGGUAAGGUAGAAAUUGGAGAGUAAUGUCAGUUGCAUUUCGAAACGCAUACUGUUCCCGACGCUCAUAUCGCGGCUGUCUCAUCAUCGUUUAUCUUCUACUCGGUCAUCGCGUAAGUUGUGCAUCGUCAUCUUGCUUUCGUGAUGGCAAGUGGACGAAAACGUACCACUCCUGAACCCGCCGCACACGACUUUGAGGCUGCACUGCAUCGACUCUCCGCUGCAUCUGCUGACGGUUUCGCCGCCCUAAGGAAGACUGUAAAGGAAGAAACUGCGAGGUUGCCCUCAUUCAACCCGCCACCCUUCCGCCGUUCCCGUUCCCGGGAACGGCGGAAGUUUUACCGUCCACUUGGUUGCUGGUCAAGGCGGCAGCGACAAAAUGAUUAUUCAAACCGAGUGGUAAACUGGUCCAGGAUGCGCUACAGAGUUUGCAGGCGGAUACAGCAGCCAUGGUGCCAAAUGUGGACCAGCUUCAGCGAGUGGCCAAUCGCGCUAGGGAAACACAGACCAAAGCAUCCAUCCAUCCACAGUAGGUUUUGAGCUCAACAUGGCUCAUGUUGCCGAAGACUCUUUGGUAGCAGACUUGAGAUAUGAUCAACAAAGAGCACUGAUUUUGGCGACGCCUUUACAGUUGGAAUAUCUAUCGAAAGCUAAAGUAUGGUACGUCGACGGGACCUUCAAAGUGGUAAAGGAACCCUUUGUACAAAUGCUGUCCUUGCAUACGUUCAUAAGGAGUGGCGAAAACGAGAUGCAAGUGCCACUUUGUUUCAUCGUAAUGUCACGACGGAUGAAGGCUGAUUACAAAGCAGGGCAAGCUACGGAGGUGUCGCAGAAAGACGGCAAUGUGUAAACAAGAGCGAUUACACGCCCUAUGGAAAGGCUACGCCAGUGGUGACAUCCCUACUUCUGCAUACCUACAACAGUGCAGUACAUUAAUGGAUCGUUGUGAAGAUUGAGAGGUUAAUCUUUUGGAUACUUUGUAACUGUUACGAUCUAUUGUACCAAUUAAUUACUACCACUGCCACUAUCAGUCAAUAAAGUUUUUAUUGU